Molecule: ribosomal RNA, 16 nt
Filed under: Sclerotinia sclerotiorum
Lineage: Eukaryota; Fungi; Ascomycota; Leotiomycetes; Helotiales; Sclerotiniaceae
Description: partial 28S ribosomal RNA
Source: RNAcentral
UUCUCCAUCACGAUUC